RNAcentral lists this ribosomal RNA (500 nucleotides) under uncultured bacterium. RNAcentral's name for it is "partial 16S ribosomal RNA". It matches the Rfam family "Bacterial small subunit ribosomal RNA", at positions 30 to 523 of the family's 1533-position model. The record is from RNAcentral.
AUUGAACGCUGGCGGAAUGCUUUACACAUGCAAGUCGAACGGCAGCACGGACUUCGGUCUGGUGGCGAGUGGCGAACGGGUGAGUAAUGUAUCGGAACGUGCCCAGUCGUGGGGGAUAACGUAGUGAAAAUUACGCUAAUACCGCAUACGAUCUAUGGAUGAAAGCGGGGGAUCGCAAGACCUCGCGCGAUUGGAGCGGCCGAUAUCAGAUUAGGUAGUUGGUGGGGUAAAGGCCCACCAAGCCAACGAUCUGUAGCUGGUCUGAGAGGACGACCAGCCACACUGGAACUGAGACACGGUCCAGCAUCCUACGGGAGGCAGCAGUGGGGAAUUUUGGACAAUGGGCGAAAGCCUGAUCCAGCCAUUCCGCGUGCAGGAUGAAGGCCCUCGGGUUGUAAACUGCUUUUGUACAGAACGAAAAGGUUUCUACUAAUACUAGGAGCUCAUGACGGUACUGUAAGAAUAAGCACCGGCUAACUACGUGCCAGCAGCCGCCGUAA